This 329-nucleotide unclassified non-coding RNA is filed under the name soil metagenome. Its description in RNAcentral is "partial contains 5.8S ribosomal RNA, internal transcribed spacer 2, and large subunit ribosomal RNA". The stretch from base 1 to 120 matches the Rfam family "5.8S ribosomal RNA", at positions 35 to 154 of the family's 154-position model. The record is from RNAcentral.
GAUGAAGAACGUAGCGAAAUGCGAUAAGUAAUGCGAAUUGCAGAUUUCAGUGAGUCAUCGAAUCUUUGAACGCACAUUGCGCCCCUUGGUAUUCCGAGGGGCAUGCCUGUUCGAGCGUCAUUAUAACCCCUCAAGCUCAGCUUGGUGUUGGGGCCUGCUGCACUGGCAGCCCUUAAAAUCAGUGGCGGCGCCAUCUGGCUCUAAGCGUAGUAAUUCUUCUCGCUAUGGAGUCCUGGUGGAUGCUUGCCAUCAACCCCCAAUUUUUCUAUGGUUGACCUCGGAUCAGGUAGGGAUACCCGCUGAACUUAAGCAUAUCAAUAAGCGGAGGA